Long non-coding RNA from Melanotaenia boesemani (Boeseman's rainbowfish), 212 nucleotides. RefSeq lists it as uncharacterized. NCBI's taxonomy places the organism in Eukaryota, Metazoa, Chordata, Actinopteri, Atheriniformes, Melanotaeniidae. The transcript is spliced from 3 exons. The record is from RefSeq and is a predicted model, not a curated record.
CACAAUGGCCACUCCUUCAACCAUAGAAACAUUUCAGAUGUCUGAAGAAAUUCUAGAGCCUGAUCAGGAUGUGAUACCAGAGAGCUCUUACAUGUCUGACUCCACCACAGCACUAGGCCAAAGUCAUGCAGGUUUGAUCUACCAGACCCUUCAGGAAUCACGGGCCCUACGCUCUGCACAGGAUGAAGAAUACCAGAGGUCCCUCUUGGCUG